This 440-nucleotide ribosomal RNA is filed under the name uncultured bacterium. RNAcentral describes it as "partial 16S ribosomal RNA". It matches the Rfam family "Bacterial small subunit ribosomal RNA", at positions 338 to 795 of the family's 1533-position model. The record is from RNAcentral.
CCUACGGGAGGCAGCAGUGGGGGAUAUUGCACAAUGGGGGGAACCCUGAUGCAGCGACGCCGCGUGGGUGAAGAAGCGCCUCGGCGCGUAAAGCCCUGUCAGCAGGGAAGAAAAUGACGGUACCUGAAGAAGAAGCCCCGGAUAACUACGUGCCAGAAGCCGCGGGAAUACGUAGGGGGCAAGCGUUAUCCGGAUUUACUGGGUGUAAAGGGGGCGCAGACGGCGGUGCAAGUCAGGAGUGAAAGCCCGGGGCCCAACCCCGGGACUGCACUUGGAACUGCGUGGCUGGAGUGCAGGAGGGGCAGGCGGAAUUCCUGGUGUAGCGGUGAAAUGCGUAGAUAUCAGGAGGAACACCGGUGGCGAAGGCGGCCUGCUGGACUGCAACUGACGUUGAGGCCCGAAAGCGUGGGUAGCAAACAGGAUUAGAUACCCGGGUAGUC